RNAcentral lists this ribosomal RNA (440 nucleotides) under uncultured Porphyromonadaceae bacterium. Its description in RNAcentral is "bacterial SSU rRNA". It matches the Rfam family "Bacterial small subunit ribosomal RNA", at positions 355 to 794 of the family's 1533-position model. The record is from RNAcentral. Lineage: Bacteria; Pseudomonadati; Bacteroidota; Bacteroidia; Bacteroidales; Porphyromonadaceae.
UGAGGAAUAUUGGUCAAUGGGCGAGAGCCUGAACCAGCCAAGUCGCGUGAGGGAAGACGGUCCUACGGAUUGUAAACCUCUUUUGUCGGGGAGUAAUAGGCGGGACGUGUCCUGCUGUGAGAGUACCCGAAGAAAAAGCAUCGGCUAACUCCGUGCCAGCAGCCGCGGUAAUACGGAGGAUGCGAGCGUUAUCCGGAUUUAUUGGGUUUAAAGGGUGCGCAGGCGGCGUGCCAAGUCAGCGGUCAAAGUUCCGGGCUCAACCCGGUGAUGCCGUUGAAACUGGUGUGCUUGAGUGCGUGCGGGGGAGCGGAAUGCGUUGUGUAGCGGUGAAAUGCAUAGAUAUCGCGCAGAACUCCGAUUGCGAAGGCAGCUUUCCAUGUCGUGACUGACGCUGAGGCACGAAAGCGUGGGGAUCGAACAGGAUUAGAUACCCUGGUAGU